GCGCGAAACCUUUACAAUGCACGAAAGUGUGAUAGGGGGAUACUCAGUGCUUACGCUUAUGGUGUAGGCUUUUGUCGAUCGUAAACAGAUCGGCGAAUAAGUGGUGGGUAAGACCGGUGCCAGCCGCCGCGGUAACCCCGGCGCCACAAGUGGUUAUCACGAUUAUUGGGCCUAAAGCGUUCGUAGCCGGUUUGGUGCAUCUCUUGUGAAAUUGUUCGGCUUAACCGGACAGCGUGCAGGAGACACGGCCAGACUCGAGACCGGGAGGCGUGUGAAGUAUGUCGUGGGGACUGGUAAAAUGGGAUAAUCCACGAUAGACUACCGAUGGCGAAGGCAUCACACGAGAACGGAUCUGACGGUGAGGAACGAAAGCUAGGGGAGCGAACCGG
RNAcentral lists this ribosomal RNA (389 nucleotides) under uncultured euryarchaeote. Its description in RNAcentral is "bacterial SSU rRNA". It matches the Rfam family "Archaeal small subunit ribosomal RNA", at positions 339 to 727 of the family's 1478-position model. The record is from RNAcentral. Lineage: Archaea; Methanobacteriati; Methanobacteriota.